CCUUUUUAGAGAAACCUGAGAUGACUCUGGCAGGACAGCUGCUGCUCAGAGCCCACUGAGAAUACAACCAAUUAAAUGGGGAAAUACGGGAGAAGACCUCCACAGCAGGGAAGCAUGAGUCCAUCAGAAGAAUAAACAGACACGAAAUGACAGGGGGCUACUGCUUCUCGCUCCCUAAGCUGUUUAUCCUGAAUGAAAAACACUAGAAAAAUUCCACUUUGCAAAGGCUGCGCCCCUACCAUGCUCAUAAUGAAUACCAGAGGAAAAACCCUGAAGUGUGUUCAGCUGAGACCACAUCUACCUAGAGUUUUUUCUAACAAGCUUUGUUACCUGGGGCUUCAAGACCCAUUUAACCCACUCGACAUGUGGAGUCGGAUGCAGGAGUCUCUGGAAUGACGUUACCAUCACAGGUGACAACCCCAUUGAGAAGAUCCCAGUGGCAGCAGCGAUGCGGCCCUUACUCACCACCCUGGGUUUGGGGCCCCGGGAGGAUGGAGGAGAGAAGCCAAGAGAGCAAGCCAUCUGCAGCCCGCCCAGCCUGCAUGGUACCCCUCCAGCCCCUACAGAUGCAGAAGGUUGAGCAAGCUAGAAACCACUGGAAAAAUCAUCGGAAAAAGCAAGAUCUGCUUCCAGCAAAAUCCCAGCCAACAACAAGAUGGAAUGAUUUGAUGAUGAAACUGAGCACCAUUCGGACUGUACGAGCUGGAUUUUAUUAGUUUGUUUUGAAUGUCCUCUGGGGGUGGGUGGGGGUGGGGUGGGUAGGCUCAGUCUUGUGUGAGCCUUGGCCCUGGCACCAGCCCACGGCAGAGCUGGAAGUGUGGGACCUGGGGCCAGACUGCCUGGUUGGAAUCUCAGCUAGAUCUCAUACUAGCCAUGUGACCUCGGGCAAGUUCCUAAUUUCUCUGUGCCCGUUUCCUCUCUGAUAAAGCAAUGUGAUGGGCAUAUAUCUGGUAUGAUCUAGCCUUGUUCACUUAGGCAGACUUGUUUCCUUCCAUCCAGUAGUUCGCACUGUCAUUUGUUCAGUGCAUUUGUUCAUUCUUGCUCUUACCCAUUCACACCAUUCGUUACUACAUUCAUUCAGGCAUCAGUUCAUUUGUUCCUGCAUUUGUCAAUGCAUUAAUUCACACACACAUCUGGGCAUGAUCAACCCCACUGUUCAGCCUUUUUCCAGCCUGUGGGCAGACAGACCAGGCCCCAGAAAGGGCUCUGAACAUGGCUGGUAGAAAACAUGUGAUUCCUCCCAUGUCACUUAAAGGUACUGGAAUUGUAGGAUCUAGGGCAUUAUAGCAUUUGGGUCUCAUGGUCCAGGAGCCCCAGAUCUCUGCCCCACCACCCCCUCCUCCCAGGUCUCUCAGGGACUGGGCACUAAUGGGUGGACCCCGGAGGUGACCGGAGCUGCUCAUCAGAGGGAAGCCUGCCACCACUCAGUCGUGUCUGUGUGACCUGGGCUAUAUCACCUUCCCUCACUCUGCCUGGGGUGUCCUUUCACCCCGGGCUUGGGGUAGGACUUAUCUGAGCAUCCAGGUGGCUCUGGGUAGGAGAAGGCUCUGCCUUGGCUGCAUUUGCAGAGAGCAGAGGCCCUGGUUUUAUAGAGGGGUAUUAUGGUGUAAGAACACAAAAUAGCAGAGACUCUUUAUUCCAGAAAAUUAAGUCAUCCUUUUUCCUUGAGCAUCUCACUUCUGACCAAGAAAGGCUGGUGGUAGAGACUGGGCCCGGUUCAGGGCUGGCUCUGUUGACCCAAGAGGCAAUGACACAGAUCUUGUCCAAAAUCCAUUCUGUGUGUUACAGUGAUCUGAGGGCAUCCUGCAGCUAAGUGCCCACUGGUCGGCUGCAAUAAUUAAUUGAUUUUAUUGCCUAUACUUGAGGCCUCUGGAGCCUUGGCAUGUAAAUACAUGCAAAUGAGCAGAGGAGCGGGUUGAAUCCAAAGCCUGGGGGAGUAUCUGCCUGGAUUGGGCUAAUUUCUCUGCUCACCUUUCCUGCUGUAAUCCUACUGUGUUCUCAGGGAGCAGGAGAGUGGGGGACAAGGAGAAGGGGCCUUAGAGCCAGAGACACCUGGGUUCAAAGCCCAGCCCACCCCUUCCUGCUGUGUGUGGUCGUGGGCGAGUCCCUGCACCUCUCACUCUACCUGUCUCCAUCAUUGCGGGGCGGGGGUGGGUGGGGGGUGGGUAAUGAUCCUCCUGCCCUGCAGGGCUCUCAUGGGCCUGAGGAAGCAGCACUCAGGAAACAUGCCUCACACCCUUGCUGUAAGAAGCAGUGCAGCUUAGAGCUCCUAAAUUAUGUAUUUCUGAGGUGGCGGGGAGGAGAGUGCAGUCAUCUGGGCUUCGCAGCCCUGGCAGAGCAAGUGCUCCUUGAAAGGAGGUGUUGUGAUUUCCCCUAAUGAAUGAUGGCAAUUGCUCCUUAAUCCAGCCCUCGCCUCCUUUCCCAUCCAGUACGGUACGUUUUAUGUGUGACCUUUGCUGAAACACAACAAUCUCUCUUCACAUAUUGGGGGAAUUACAAGAAAGCUUGGAAUUUAAACAUCCUGAAAGAUUUAUUCUAUGUAGUGGGUGGAAUAACCCUCACAAAAAACAUACAAAUUAUGUUAGGAGAAGUAGGUCUGAGGUGGGCUCCAGGCCUGGCUGGAGCCUCUGAUGAGUGGGGCUGGGGACUGGAGGCUGCUCUGAUCAAGGGUUCAUGCAGAAGCUUCUUUGAUUCUUGGUUCUGUCUGCAUUGUAUGCAAGUUAUAGCAUUUGAUGGGCUUUGUCAGGACUGGUGGGUGCUGAGGUUUACUGAGCACCUACUGUGCGCCAGGGCUGCCCCAUCAACCCAUGUGCUGUCCCCUGACAUGGACAUGGCCACUCCCACUGUCCCGGAGGGGAGUCUGAGUUCCUGAGGAUGACUGACUUGUCCCAGGCCACUCAGCUCGUUAAGUGGCAGGAGGGGAAUUUGAACCCAGGUCUGGUUGACCCCAAAGUCCCUGCUUUUCCCCUGACCCCAUACAGGAGGGACAAGGGGACUUGUACAUCAGGGGGAGCUGAGACUGCAGACAUUGGUGGUAGGACUUGCCACUGAUCCAAGCCUGGGCUAGGUCCACAGUUAGUUCAGCUCAACGUUGGGUCUUUUCCUGUGAAGCACAGGCUGCUCACUUGGAGGUGGGUCCCAUGAGGGCUGUUCCUGGGCCCCGGGAAUGCACAUCUCACUGGAGGAGCCAACAUUCCAAGCAGACAGUGGGGAGAGAGAUAUGAUGGCAUUCUGGGGAAGCCCAAGUCACCCCUGAAGAGGCAGGCUGUGGAGACGACACUGAACUCACAAACGGGCUAGGAAGGGCACCUGGGCAGGGGGCUGGGAGGAGCGGAGGCCGGGGUGGGAGUCGACUGGCAGAUGCAUUCAUUGAGCAAACCUCCAUUGAUACCACCAAGGAAACUUGUUGUUCUCUCCACUGCAUCCUGUUCUCCCCCACCUUUUUUCUCUUUCUCCCCACUUCCUCCUCCUUGUCUCCUCCUCUUCCUCUUCCUUACUCUUCUCUUCUUCCUCCUUCUUUUCUCCUCCUCUUCUUUCUCUUUCUCCUUCCUCUCUUCUCUUCCUCUUUUUCUUCCUCCUCUCUUCUUCCUCCUCCCCUCUUCCUCCUUGCUUCCUCUUCCUCCUCUCCCUCCUCCUCCCUCUCUUCUUCUCUUCUUCCUCUUCCUCCUCUCCCUUCCACAUCCUCCUCCCAUUCUCCUCCUCCAGGUAGAAUUAACCCCUGCUAUCUUCCAGGUCCCAGUGUAGGCAGCACCUCCUUGGGGAGCUCCCUGAUCCCCCAGGAUGGGCUAGGGGACCCUGUAGCUCCCACACCCUCUGUGUCUCCCUCAUCAGAUCCCACGGUGCUGCCAUCAUCUGUUCCUCACUGGACUGGGGGCCUGGAGGGCAGUGAUGGCUUCUCUGUCCCCGUGGUGACUGAAUAGCUCUGCCCUCCCUGGCUGCGGGGGCUGGACCAGUUUCCUCACCACUCAGACCUCAGUGUCCUCCUGUCAGAGGGGUGGUAGUCCACAUCCCCCAGGCUUGUGCGAGGGCUCAGGCACAAUGAUGGCGCUGGCAAGGUGUGAGCUCCGCUAGUCUCAGCCUCCCCUCCUCCCUCUGGGCUUCCUUCCUCCUAUCCGUCCUCAUCUCCACCUCUGAGGGGCCUGGGCUCCAUUCUCCUGCAGGACACCCCACCUCCCAACCUUCAGAGGAGAGAUAAUGAAAACCUCCUCCAGCACCAUGUCCUAAAGUUCCCGCUUAAUUACUGGUGCGGUGCGCUGAGCAGCUACGGCUGCGCCUUUCCAGCUCUGGCGCCACAUGGAGUGCGAGACACCUGGCUCCUCCCUGACGCACUUCUUUCUGUUUCUGCCCUUCAGGCUUUGUGUCUGUCUGAAUCUGCGUCUGUUUCUCUGUGUUUUAUAUUUGGAACUCAGGAGCGAAUGACGAUACUUUAUAGAGAUGAAUGGAGGUGGGAACAGAGAUGUCCUGGGGGCAGGACCCCAGUUGGGGGUCACACAGCUAAUGACAGAGACAGAAUUCAAACCCAUUAAUUAACACACUAAUUCAUGUAAUGAAUGUUUAUCAAAGUGCAGUUCUGUGCCACAGCUUGGAAGGCCUGAAUUUAAUAAAAUCCAAC
This 4612-nucleotide long non-coding RNA is filed under the name Homo sapiens (human). RNAcentral describes it as "HSALNT0291116". Lineage: Eukaryota; Metazoa; Chordata; Mammalia; Primates; Hominidae. The record is from RNAcentral.